AGAACGAACGCUGGCGGCAUGCCUAAUACAUGCAAGUCGAACGGACACUUCGGUGUUAGUGGCGCACGGGUGCGUAACGCGUGGGAAUCUGCCCUUGGGUUCGGAAUAACAGUUGGAAACGACUGCUAAUACCGGAUGAUAUCGAAAGAUCAAAGAUUUAUCGCCCAGGGAUGAGCCCGCGUAGGAUUAGCUAGUUGGUGAGGUAAAGGCUCACCAAGGCGACGAUCCUUAGCUGGUCUGAGAGGAUGAUCAGCCACACUGGGACUGAGACACGGUCCAGACUCCUACGGGAGGCAGCAGUGGGGAAUUUUGGACAAUGGGCGCAAGCCUGAUCCAGCAAUGCCGCGUGCAGGAUGAAGGCCUUCGGUU
RNAcentral lists this ribosomal RNA (369 nucleotides) under uncultured soil bacterium. Its description in RNAcentral is "bacterial SSU rRNA". It matches the Rfam family "Bacterial small subunit ribosomal RNA", at positions 26 to 423 of the family's 1533-position model. The record is from RNAcentral.